RNAcentral lists this long non-coding RNA (311 nucleotides) under Salmo salar (Atlantic salmon). RNAcentral describes it as "lncRNA (ENSSSAG00000084902.1, ENSSSAG00000117975.1)". Lineage: Eukaryota; Metazoa; Chordata; Actinopteri; Salmoniformes; Salmonidae. The record is from RNAcentral.
GCCGGCUAGUAACAGGUUCAGGGUAGAGUACCGGGUGGUAGCCGGUUAGUAACAGCUUCAUGGUAUAGUACUUGGUGGUAGCCGGCUAGUAACAGUCUCUAAGGUUCAGGGUAGAGUACCGGGUGGUAGCCUGCUAGUAACAGGUUCAGGGUAGAGUACCAUGUGGUAGCCGGGUAGUAACAGGUUCAGGGUAGAGUACCGGGUGGUAGCCAGCUAGUAACAGGUUCAGGGUCGAGUACUGGGUGGUAGCCAGCUAGUAACAGGUUCAGGGUAGAGUACUGGGUGUUAGCUGGCUAGUAACAGGUUCAGGG